RNAcentral lists this long non-coding RNA (882 nucleotides) under Marmota monax (woodchuck). The record is from RNAcentral. Lineage: Eukaryota; Metazoa; Chordata; Mammalia; Rodentia; Sciuridae.
ACGGACGGACGGCCUCUUUAAUUCUGCCUUCCCAGGGACCCAGAUCCGGGGAUCACCACAGAGACCCGGGAGCCCUGCGGCCUGCCCUGCCACCUGAGCGAUGCCUACGGGGGUGGUCCAUGCGAGGAAGCGGCAUCCCUCCCAGGACAAGGGUGGCCCAAGGAGCACUGGACUCCAGCUUCUCUGGUGCUUCUUAACCACAGCCCUGCAGGGCCAUCGGCUGGAGGCCCAGGUGUGAGGAACCUCCUCACGCGGCUUUGCACCCGACUCCCUGUGGCUGGGUCGCAAUGGGAGAGGUCCUGAUGACUGGUCCAAGGAGGAGAGGGGUGACCGUCCCCCUGGUGCCUACAGCCUCCUUUCUCCUCUCCUCCUCGGCCUCCGCCAUCUCUGGCCUCUGAUCCUUGGCCUCAGAUUGACGCACAAGCUAAGAGGUCAGGGCCAGCUCUGCACAGGGACAGCUGGUUGACGGGGAAGCCAGGUGGGGCCUUCAGCCUCAAGGCUAAGGAGGCAGCCGCUGUCCGCUGGGCCUGAGGCUCACAGGGAAAGGGCAGGGCCUGGGACCCUCACCCGGAGGCCCAGCGCUGCCCACCUCUGACUUGCCCUGUGAUCUUUGGUAAGUGGCUUUCCUCUUGGACCUCAGUUGACCCAUCUGCCAAAUGGGCACCUGUUGCCUCCUCUGUUUCAAACGACUCCGCAGGUGGGAGCCGCCCAGAAGCUCUUGUGGAGAAGACUCACAGUUAGGAACCAGGAGGGGAGAAGGCCGGGAAGGGAGGAGAGGGUGCCCGGGAGGCGGCCAGAGGAGGGGGCUGGGCGCGGGGACAGAUGGAGGAGGCAGGUGAGAGAGUGUUAAGAAGGGGCGCCAGAUGGGAGCCAUCAAUCAGC